CAGAGCACUCUGCAUAUGGAAGUCUGACUCAAAGUGCUUCUGUGUAAUUGGAAUGUACAGUUCACAGCACAUACAUAGCUGAUGGAGCGGUUUGUGGGAGGAUUCCUUUGCCUUACAUUUGUUCAUUGGCAUGGGACUGAAGCCUUGGCAUUGAGUGCCACACUUCUUGCAGUGAGGUAGGAACCUGUCAAAGCUUGGAAGGCCAUCUUAAAGGGUAACCCCACCUUUUCUUGAAGAAAAUCUUCACACUGUUUC
This 255-nucleotide long non-coding RNA is filed under the name Homo sapiens (human). Its description in RNAcentral is "HSALNT0055717". Lineage: Eukaryota; Metazoa; Chordata; Mammalia; Primates; Hominidae. The record is from RNAcentral.